UGAACGCUGGCGGUAGGCCUAACACAUGCAAGUCGAACGGCAGCACAGUAAGAGCUUGCUCUUACGGGUGGCGAGUGGCGGACGGGUGAGGAAUACAUCGGAAUCUACUUUUUCGUGGGGGAUAACGUAGGGAAACUUACGCUAAUACCGCAUACGACCUACGGGUGAAAGCAGGGGAUCUUCGGACCUUGCGCGAUUGACUGAGCCGAUGUCGGAUUAGCUAGUUGGCGGGGUAAAGGCCCACCAAGGCGACGAUCCGUAGCUGGUCUGAGAGGAUGAUCAGCCACACUGGAACUGAGACACGGUCCAGACUCCUACGGGAGGCAGCAGUGGGGAAUAUUGGACAAUGGGCGCAAGCCUGAUCCAGCCAUACCGCGUGGGUGAAGAAGGCCUUCGGGUUGUAAAGCCCUUUUGUUGGGAAAGAAAAGCAGCAGGUUAAUACCCCGCUGUUCUGACGGUACCCAAAGAAUAAGCACCGGCUAACUUCGUG
Molecule: ribosomal RNA, 490 nt
Filed under: uncultured bacterium
Lineage: Bacteria
Description: partial 16S ribosomal RNA
Rfam family: Bacterial small subunit ribosomal RNA
Source: RNAcentral